CGUACCUCGUAGGUGGGAGACCGCGAAAGCCGGACUAAUACCGCAUAUGCUCUACGGAGGAAAGUGGGGGACCUGCAAGGGCCUCACGCUAUGGGAGCGGCCGAUGUCCGAUUAGCUUGUUGGCGGGGUAAUGGCCCACCAAGGCGACGAUCGGUAGCUGGUCUGAGAGGAUGAUCAGCCACACUGGGACUGAGACACGGCCCAG
This 205-nucleotide ribosomal RNA is filed under the name uncultured bacterium. Its description in RNAcentral is "partial 16S ribosomal RNA". It matches the Rfam family "Bacterial small subunit ribosomal RNA", at positions 125 to 334 of the family's 1533-position model. The record is from RNAcentral.